RNAcentral lists this ribosomal RNA (777 nucleotides) under Curtobacterium herbarum. Its description in RNAcentral is "bacterial SSU rRNA". It matches the Rfam family "Bacterial small subunit ribosomal RNA", at positions 53 to 835 of the family's 1533-position model. The record is from RNAcentral. Lineage: Bacteria; Bacillati; Actinomycetota; Actinomycetes; Micrococcales; Microbacteriaceae.
CCAUGCAGUCGACGAUGAUCAGGAGCUUGCUCCUGUGAUUAGUGGCGAACGGGUGAGUAACACGUGAGUAACCUGCCCCUGACUCUGGGAUAAGCGUUGGAAACGACGUCUAAUACUGGAUAUGAUCACUGGUCGCAUGGCCUGGUGGUGGAAAGAUUUUUUGGUUGGGGAUGGACUCGCGGCCUAUCAGCUUGUUGGUGAGGUAAUGGCUCACCAAGGCGACGACGGGUAGCCGGCCUGAGAGGGUGACCGGCCACACUGGGACUGAGACACGGCCCAGACUCCUACGGGAGGCAGCAGUGGGGAAUAUUGCACAAUGGGCGAAAGCCUGAUGCAGCAACGCCGCGUGAGGGAUGACGGCCUUCGGGUUGUAAACCUCUUUUAGUAGGGAAGAAGGGAGCUUCGGUUCUUGACGGUACCUGCAGAAAAAGCACCGGCUAACUACGUGCCAGCAGCCGCGGUAAUACGUAGGGUGCAAGCGUUGUCCGGAAUUAUUGGGCGUAAAGAGCUCGUAGGCGGUUUGUCGCGUCUGCUGUGAAAUCCCGAGGCUCAACCUCGGGCUUGCAGUGGGUACGGGCAGACUAGAGUGCGGUAGGGGAGAUUGGAAUUCCUGGUGUAGCGGUGGAAUGCGCAGAUAUCAGGAGGAACACCGAUGGCGAAGGCAGAUCUCUGGGCCGUAACUGACGCUGAGGAGCGAAAGCAUGGGGGAGCGAACAGGAUUAGAUACCCUGGUAGUCCAUGCCGUAAACGUUGGGCGCUAGAUGUAGGGGACCUUUC